Molecule: ribosomal RNA, 237 nt
Filed under: uncultured Comandonia
Lineage: Eukaryota; Discosea; Longamoebia; Acanthamoebidae
Description: partial 18S ribosomal RNA
Rfam family: Eukaryotic small subunit ribosomal RNA
Source: RNAcentral
CUCAUUAAAUCAGUUAUAGUUUAUUUGAUGGUCUCUUUGUCUUUUUUUACCUACUUGGAUAACCGUGGUAAUUCUAGAGCUAAUACAUGCGCAAGGUCCCAAGCGCGGAGAGUAAGGCUUCACGGCUUUAUUCUUGCAUGCGCAGAGGGAUGUAUUUAUUAGGUUAAAAACCAGCACGCUGGCGACAGCGUCCAAUUCACUGGUGAUUCAUAGUAACUCUUUCGGAUCGCAUUCAUG